RNAcentral lists this non-coding RNA (86 nucleotides) under mosquito metagenome. The record is from RNAcentral.
CAGAGUCAUCUCGUCAAACGCUCUCUGCAAACCAAUAAGUGCCGAAUCCAAGCGCACUGACUUCGCUCUCGCUGCCUGAUCAGUGA